This 460-nucleotide ribosomal RNA is filed under the name uncultured bacterium. RNAcentral describes it as "partial 16S ribosomal RNA". It matches the Rfam family "Bacterial small subunit ribosomal RNA", at positions 338 to 795 of the family's 1533-position model. The record is from RNAcentral.
CCUACGGGGGGCAGCAGUGAGGAAUAUUGGUCAAUGGACGAGAGUCUGAACCAGCCAAGUAGCGUGAAGGAUGACUGCCCUAUGGGUUGUAAACUUCUUUUAUAUGGGAAUAAAAUGUUCCACGUGUGGGAUUUUGUAUGUACCAUAUGAAUAAGGAUCGGCUAACUCCGUGCCAGCAGCCGCGGUAAUACGGAGGAUCCGAUCGUUAUCCGGAUUUAUUGGGUUUAAAGGGAGCGUAGGUGGGUUGUUAAGUCAGUUGUGAAAGUUUGCGGCUCAACCGUAAAAUUGCAGUUGAAACUGGCAGUCUUGAGUACAGUAGAGGUGGGCGGAAUUCGUGGUGUAGGGGUGAAAUGCUUAGAGAUCACGAAGAACUCCGAUUGCGAAGGCAGCCUGCUGGACUGCGACUGACGUUGAGGCGCGAAAGCGUGGGUAGCAAACAGGAUUAGAUACCCCGGUAGUC